AGUGAACGCUGGCGGUAGGCCUAACACAUGCCAGUCGAACGGCAGCACAGUAAGAGCUUGCUCUUACGGGUGGCGAGUGGCGGACGGGUGAGGAAUAAAUCGGAAUCUACUUUUUCGUGGGGGAUAACGUAGGGAAACUUACGCUAAUACCGCAUACGACCUACGGGUGAAAGCAGGGGAUCUUCGGACCUUGCGCGAUUGAAUGAGCCGAUGUCGGAUUAGCUAGUUGGCGGGGUAAAGGCCCACCAAGGCGACGAUCCGUAGCUGGUCUGAGAGGAUGAUCAGCCACACUGGAACUGAGACACGGUCCAGACUCCUACGGGAGGCAGCAGUGGGGAAUAUUGGACAAUGGGCGCAAGCCUGAUCCAGCCAUACCGCGUGGGUGAAGAAGGCCUUCGGGUUGUAAAGCCCUUUUGUUGGGAAAGAAAAGCAGCAGGUUAAUACCCCGCUGUUCUGACGGUACCCAAAGAAUAAGCACCGGCUAACUCCGUG
RNAcentral lists this ribosomal RNA (492 nucleotides) under uncultured bacterium. Its description in RNAcentral is "partial 16S ribosomal RNA". It matches the Rfam family "Bacterial small subunit ribosomal RNA", at positions 29 to 507 of the family's 1533-position model. The record is from RNAcentral.